This is an RNA transcript of Strigops habroptila (Kakapo), 2492 nucleotides long. It is a transcript of the gene named atherin-like, with no coding region annotated. Lineage: Eukaryota; Metazoa; Chordata; Aves; Psittaciformes; Psittacidae. The record is from RefSeq and is a predicted model, not a curated record. The transcript has 3 exons.
CGGGAGGCGUUAUCAGUGAGCGCUGCUGGUUUGGCCUAUCCAGGGCUGAGAACGCUUUGCUGCUGCCUUGUGAUGUGGUGUUGAUAAGAAUGGAAGCAGCCUUACAUGCUGAUUCUCCCUACAUUACUGGAGAUAAAAAGAGCUUUUGAAUGUACAGUACAGUGCAGCAUUCACUGUCCUAUUAUCCCUGUAGUGGGCUACAAACAUACUACUUUUAAAGCCCUCCCAGGUAAAAAGGUGGAAAGUCUCACUUAGGAAUGAAUUUGGUGAAUCAAGACCUGGAGAAAUUGAAGAAUCCCAGGAGGACUUUUGGCUGAUUCAUCUCUUCAUAGUAAGAUGACAAUAGUUAUUACCUAUUUGCUACGGCAUAUAAUGGAAUAAUCUAGCAAUAUUGAUCUCUAGUAACUUUCAUGAAAGAUAUGAUUGCUUUGGCUAAUAGGCAUUUUUUUGCAUGAAUUUACUAAUACAAAUUAACAUAUGAAUACUGGAAAAACAAAAAGACAUGACAGUAAAUGUAGGAUAAAUACCACCAACAUUGAUAGUUUCAUUAUAAGACAGUGACAGAGGUAUUAGUAACAAAAAUAAGACAGAAAACAGUAUUUUUAUUGCUAAUAACUCAGUUCUUAAAAUGCUCAGAGCUAGCACAUUUGUUUUUAUGGCCAUGUCAUGUGUCACCUGGAUUUCCAAUCUGAUUUAACAUGACACCAAGUGCAACAGGUACUUGGGAUUCUAGAAGUGCAGCAUGACUGUAGGAGCAUACAAACAGAAAAAGGAAGUCAUUAGGAAUGCCACUAAUUAAACCUGAAAAUGUAGAUUUAUAGAGCUGUUUUCCAACCUGUUCCUGAUAGACUGGCCACUGAGAACAUCUGAAAUAGUUAUGCUUUUUCCGUUUCCCCGAAGUUCUAUGAGACUAUAUAUCGCAAGUAGUUACUGCUCUGCAUCACAUAAUCUUGGUUCUCAAUGAUGGGUUAGUUUUAAGAGAUUUCAUGUCACAAGGUAUGGUUGGUCGUGGCUCAUAGACGUAAAAAAUCUAAUUACAGAUGUGACUUCAUAUUUAUCCUAUUUUUACGAUGAACUCGAAAGAUGUCAUUUCCAAGUGAAGUCCUGUUUCGUUUAUCAACAGCUCUGGUAGACACCAUCUUAUUUACACCUAGGCAGAGGAGGUCUCCUUUCCCAAGAAGUAUAUGAAUCUCAGGUGAUAGGUGAGCGAGUAGAACUUUGCUCAAGAGUAUAUACCUGGUUUUGAGAGUGAACUUCAUUUAGGGUCAGAAAUAAGACCAACACAUGUUUCCUAUGCUUUGCCUAUUAAAAUCUAACACUUCCUACAGCACAAUCAAGAGAUUUUUAGCCCUGAUAGGUUAAUAUGGUCUGCUUCUCUAUAUUUAUAUUUGUGUUUCUGAUCCCCAUUAUAACUUUCAUAACAGACCAAUUUCAAGUGAAUUUGAUUGAAAUAACUUUUCUUAGGCAGUUGGGUGGGGAACUGUGGGUGACUGCUGUUAGUGCUGUAUUGAUGGAAAGACUCCACAUUCUCAGCUCUCGCUACUGGAUAUAUGCACAAACCAUGAGAAAAAUUUCAAUCAGCACUCAGAGUCCAUAAUAAAACAAAUCUUUAAUUCAAAGUUAUUACUACUUGUUUUGACUAGGAGGGGUUAGCUUGGGUUUUUUUCCUCAUUACUUGUAGCGUAAGAUUUUCCUGUGGCAUUUGAUAUUAAUAUAACAUCACAAUAAAACAUCUGGUUUAUAUUACCGGAGUGCAAUGAUUCAAAUAGUUAAAUAAUUGUUAACAUGCAGUUCUCUACUGUUAUCCUGUGUAUUUUCAGUACAUUACAAAUAAGAUCUGCCUGCUUUUUCAUGAAAAGUGUUACUGGUAGUUCAGUUUUCUUAUCCAACAGGAAGUACUGAAAGCCACAAUUGCCAUUCUUUCCUAGCCUUUAGUCAUUUCUUCCUCCUUAAAAUUAUCUUUAAAAUUAUACAUGGGGUUUUCCCUUUGAUUUUUAGUAAAAUUUUAAUAUAAAAGUGGUUUGUUUUCAGAAAAAAUGCUAACAUAAAUAGAAGUAUUACAACUAUAAAUUACUGUGUUUGUGAGAAGUUGUACUGUUAUAUUGAUAUUAUUUCUGUCCAUAGCUCUUGCUGUUCCACACAAUCAGAUGUUUUUACACCUCCUUCUCACCUCCUGUUAAGAGAAGCUUUGCUGCUGUUCUCAUAAGUACUCACAGAUUUAUUUUUUUCUAUAAUUCUCCACGGAUAUAUAUACACACUGGAAUAAUAUUCUAGUUGUCCUUACUGAAUUUUUUGUCAAAUGAGGGUUCAAACAAAAGACUCUUCGCCAGACCCAUGGUUUGCUGCUAAAUAUUGGUACACCGCUAUCAGCAAAAUGUUUACCUGUUGUUAAGUAUUAAUGUUUCCUGUUGUUAUCUCCUAGUUCUCAUUCAUAAGAUUUUAUCUGUUUUCACCUGGUUGGAGACUUCUAGAGACAAUUCGGGGGGUUUUAU